Molecule: ribosomal RNA, 112 nt
Filed under: Acanthosepion pharaonis
Lineage: Eukaryota; Metazoa; Mollusca; Cephalopoda; Sepiida; Sepiidae
Source: RNAcentral
UACAGCCAUAUCAUGUUGAAACACCGGUUUCUGUAUGAUCAUUGAAGUUAAGCAAUGUCAAGUCUAGUCAGUACAUUGAUGGGUGACCACUUGGAAAUACCAGGUACUGUAA